This 369-nucleotide ribosomal RNA is filed under the name uncultured bacterium. Its description in RNAcentral is "bacterial SSU rRNA". It matches the Rfam family "Bacterial small subunit ribosomal RNA", at positions 527 to 896 of the family's 1533-position model. The record is from RNAcentral.
GAAGGGGGCUAGCGUUGCUCGGAAUCACUGGGCGUAAAGGGUGCGUAGGCGGGUUUUUAAGUCAGGGGUGAAAUCCUGGAGCUCAACUCCAGAACUGCCUUUGAUACUGAAGAUCUUGAGUCCGGGAGAGGUGAGUGGAACUGCGAGUGUAGAGGUGAAAUUCGUAGAUAUUCGCAAGAACACCAGUGGCGAAGGCGGCUCACUGGCCCGGUACUGACGCUGAGGCACGAAAGCGUGGGGAGCAAACAGGAUUAGAUACCCGGGUAGUCCACGCCGUAAACGAUGAAUGCCAGCCGUUAGUGGGUUUACUCACUAGUGGCGCAGCUAACGCUUUAAGCAUUCCGCCUGGGGAGUACGGUCGCAANANGG